RNAcentral lists this long non-coding RNA (1520 nucleotides) under Olea europaea subsp. europaea. Lineage: Eukaryota; Viridiplantae; Streptophyta; Magnoliopsida; Lamiales; Oleaceae. The record is from RNAcentral.
UCUGGUGGAAUGGCUACUCGUCCCUUGAACCAUAAUAAUUCAUUCCUCCAUUCAUAAUUCUGUGCCCCUUCAUCAUCAGAUUCUAGGUGACUUCUUAUUUCUUGAACCCAUGGGCUUUUAGCUGCUUCCCUUUUUAUUUCAUCCCAUAUAACGAAUUGUGGCUCUGAAAUUGCCAAUAGAGUCUGUGACCCCACUUUCCUAGAAAGUGAAUCUGCUGCCCUGUUCUCCUUGCCAGGCCUAUAUACUAUUCCAUAUUCGUAGCGUAGCAACUUUGUGGCCCAUUUCUGUUGCUCUGGGGUGGCUACACGUUGCUCCAAGAAAUACCGCAAGCUGCGUUGGUCGGUUAAGAUCUGAAAUUUUCUACCUAAAAGAUAUGGUCUCCAACAUCGAAUAGCUUCAAGGAUAGCAAGCAUCUCCUUUGAAUAAAUAGGCCAAGCUUUCUUUCCUGGACCCAAUGCUUUACUCAAAAAAGCCACUGGUCUUUCUUGUUGAGACAAUAUAGCUCGAAUACCUACAUCUGAAGCAUCAGUUUCAAUGACAAAAGUUUCAGUAAAAUUAGGAAUGGCCGAUACCGGUGUUGUAGUCAUAGCAAGUUUGAGCAUCUCAAAAGCUUUUACUGCAUUUUCAUCCCAGUGGAAUUGUCCUUUCUUCAACAAUUGUGUUAGAGGGGCUGCAAUAAUUCCGUAAUCACACACAAACUUACGAUAAUACCCCGUAAGUCCUAAGGAACCCCUGAGCUCUGUUAAGUUGGUGGGUCUAGGCCAAUUCUUUUAUGGCUGCAAUCUUACUUUCAUCCACUUGUACUCCGUCAUUCGAAAUUAUGUGCCCCAAAUAAUCCACCUUUGUUUGUCCGAAUGCACACUUAGAGCGUUUAAGGAAAAAUUGUUGAUUGUGCAAAAUUUUAAAAACCACUCUGAUGUGUUCUACAUGCACCUCCCAAGAGCGACUAUACACCAAAAUAUCUUCAAAAAAUACAAGUACAAACUUACAUAAGAACGGCUUGAAGAUGGAAUUCAUGGUGGCUUGGAAUGUUGAAGGCGCAUUACAAAGGCCAAAAGGCACGACGAGAUAUUCGUAAUGUCCACUAUGUGUUCGAAAAGCUGUCUUAUGCACAUCAUCAGGAUGAACUCGAAUUUGAUGGUAUCCAGCUCUAAGGUCAAGCUUGGUGAAAUACUUGGCUCCAUGUAAUUCAUCGAUCAUGUCAUCCACGGUUGGAAUUGGAAAGCGGUCCUUUAUUGUUGCUUCAUUUAGCGUCCUAUAAUCAGUACAAAAACGCCAAGACCCAUCCUUUUUCUUAACCAGUAGGACUGGCGAGGAAAAAGGGCUGCGACUAGGGCGAUGGUCCCAUUUUCCAGCAUUUCCGUCACUUGUCGCUCAAUUUCAUUUUUCUGGAAGUGCGCAUAUCUGUAGGGGCGCACAUUGGUAGCUGAAAUCCCUUCUUUCAAUGGGAUUUGGUGGUCAACUUCUCGAGGAGGGGGCAAGGAACGUGGUUCCUCAAAAAUGGCAGCAAACUCCUUCAG